GACGAACAGCUGGUUGCGUGCCUAAUACAUGCUCGUCAAACCAAAGCGACCGGUGCUUGCGCUGGCCAAUCGAGUGCCAAACGGCUGACUAACACGUGGGUAACCUGCCCAGCAUACGGGGAUAACAUUCCGACACGGAGGCCCAAACCGCCUAAGUUCUACAGUCGCCUGACUGAAAAAGGAAAAGAGGCUUCUGCUUCUGCUGAUGGAUGGACCCGCGGAGCAUUAGCUAGUUGGCGAGGUAACCGCUCACCAAGGCCGUGAUGCAUAACCGACCUGACAGGGUGAUCGGCCACUUUGGCGCACUGACACACGGCCCAAACUCCUACAGGAGGCAGCACUAGGGAAUCUUCCGCAAUGGACGCAAGUCUGACGGCAGCAACGCCGCGUGAGUGAAGAAAGAUUUCGGAUCGUAAAACUCUGUUGUUAUAGAAUAACAUCGCAUACAGUGAACUGUUAUGCGGGUGACGGCAUCUAACCUUAAAGCCACGGCUAACUACGUGCCAGCACUCCCGGUAAUACGUACGUGGCGAGCGUUGUCCGGAUUUAUUGGGCGUAAGCGAGCGCAGGCGGUCUAUUAAGUCUGAUGUGAAAGCCCCCGGCUCUUCGGGGAGGGUCAUUGGAAACUGGUUGACUUGAGUGCAGAAGAGGAGAGUGGAAUUCCAUGUGUAGCGGUGAAAUGCGUAGAUAUAUGGAGGAACACCAGUGGCGAAGGCGACUCUCUGGUCUGUAACUGACGCUGAGGCUCGAAAGCGUGGGUAGCAAACAGGAUUAGAUACCCUGAUAGUCCACGCCGUAAACGAUGAGUGCUAAGUGUUGGAGGGUUUCCACCCUUCAGUGCUGCAGUUAAUGCAUUAAGCACUCCCCCUGGGGAGUACGACCGCAAGGUUGAAACUCAAAGGAAUUGACGGACACCCGCACAAGCGGUGGAGACAUGUGUUUUAAUUAGAAGCAGACGCAAAGAACCUUACCAAGUUUUGACAUCCUUUGACCACUCUAGAGAUAGAGCUUUCCCUUCGGGGACAAAGUGACAGGUGGUGCAUGGUUGUCGUCAGCUCGUGUCGUGAGAUGUUGGGUUAAGUCCCGCAACGAGCGCAACCCUUAUUACUAUCUGCCAGCAUUGAGUUGGGCACUCUAGUGAGACUUCCGGUGACAAACCGGAGGAAGGUGGGGAUGACGUCAAAUCAUCAUGCCCAUUAUGACUUGGGCUACACACGUGCUACAAUGGAUGGUACAACGAGCAGUGAACUCGCGAGGGUAAGCGAAUCUCUUAAAGCCAUUCUCAGUUCGGAUUGUAGGUUGCAAUUUGCGUACAAGAAGCCGGAAUAGCUAGUAUUGGCGGAUCAGCAUGAGGCGGUGAAUAAGUUUUCGGCUUU
RNAcentral lists this ribosomal RNA (1376 nucleotides) under uncultured bacterium. RNAcentral's name for it is "bacterial SSU rRNA". It matches the Rfam family "Bacterial small subunit ribosomal RNA", at positions 28 to 1381 of the family's 1533-position model. The record is from RNAcentral.